Molecule: long non-coding RNA, 1586 nt
Organism: Oncorhynchus kisutch (coho salmon)
Lineage: Eukaryota; Metazoa; Chordata; Actinopteri; Salmoniformes; Salmonidae
Exons: 3
Source: RefSeq, a predicted model, not a curated record
UGGGGUUUUAGGCUGGGUUUCUGUACAACACUUUGAUAUAUCAGCUGAUCUUCAAUUAGUAGAACAUGCCUGACUAAUCCACCAGCCAUCAAAAAGAGAGCUGGCAAAAGCAAGCAAAGGCAGCAGCGCAGUCAUCAACUAUGCAUGCAAGUAUGGAGUUGGGGAAAACACAUGUGGACCUGAAAUGUGGUAACUGCAGUGGCCAAAACAAGAACAAGUUUGUGCUCUGGUAUUGUGCCUGGUGGACCAAGCACAAGCUCCACCACAAUCUGGACCUUCACUUCCGGAUCAUAGGCCACACCAAGUUUGUCCCUGACUGGUGCUUCGGCCUCAUCAAGAAGCUCUUUAGAAAGACCAGAGUGAACACUUUGUCUGAGAUUGCUGGUGUUGUGAAGGACAGCACUGUGACGGGGUCAAUAUCCCACAUCUAGUUGGACUGGAGGAUGGCACGGUGCUGGUGGAAAGCUAUGGCUGUCAACAACACCUGACUCCGUACUUCAGGCCGCUGCCACAGAUAAAGCAGUACCAGCACUUCAGCUUUCAUGCUUUGGUUCCUGGUGUUGUCGCCAAGGUGCUUUCGGACUGUCGGCACCAGGUUUCACCUGCUGCGCAACGCUGACAUCCUUCCUCUCAUAGAUGGUCUGCCUUUUAAAAGCAUCAUCUGGACUGGACACAGCUAGACAAACUAUAUUUUUGACAAGAUCAGGGACAAGUUCACAUGCCCUGCAGCAAAAAAAAGGGCAGAACAGAAACAGGCUCUCCGAAUAUAGAUUUCCUUGUUCACGCGUGGUUUGGACGGACCAGUCAUCAGCACUAUCUGCAGUGCCUCUAUUCACAUGACUCUCUCCUAACACACAAGCCAGACGUUGGUGCUACUAUUUGUUUUUAUCCUGCUGCUCAACCACUUUACCCCUGAUUGUAUGCAUAUAACUACCUCGUCUAUCACUGAUAUCGUUAUUGUACAUACUGUAUAUUUGAUUUAUAAUGACACUAUUUCUGAUAUUGCUACUAUGCAAGUAACCAUUUGGCUGUACCAUUUACACCUUCUGUAGAGACCCUCCACUUAGCAAGACUUAGCAAAAUAUUGAUAUAUAAAAUGAAUAUUGAUAUGUUUGGUCGUAACAUGAUUUUGUGUUAUGUAUAAGUAUCAAGUGUCCACAUAAAUAUAUGGUGCAUGCAUCUGUUUAUAUACUGUACAUGUGCAAAAAACAACUCACUCGGGUUUCAACAGGUUUCAUGGCCUUAACUUAUGUUUGGAAUACUAUGUGAUAAGUGCAUGUGUAACAGUAUAUAAAGUAUGCUAAUGUACUGGUGUGAAGGUAUUUGGGCAGUUGUGUAAAAUACUUUAAAGUGCUACUUAAGCAGUUUUUUGUGGUAUCUGGUAUACAUUACUAUUUAUAUAUAUUUUUAAUCUUUUCACUACAUUUGUAAAGAAAAUAAUGUACUUUUUACUACAUACAUUUUCCUUGACACCCAAAAGUACUUUUGGCAGGACAAUUUGACAAUUGUCCACUUAUCAACAGAACAUCCCUACUGCCUCUGAUCUGGCAGACUCACUAAACACAUCAUCACGCUUCAUUUGUGAA